RNAcentral lists this ribosomal RNA (263 nucleotides) under endophytic bacterium. Its description in RNAcentral is "partial 16S ribosomal RNA". The record is from RNAcentral.
GCAAGUCGAGCGAACAGAUAAGGAGUUUGGUUCCUUUGGUUUUCGCGGGAGAGGGGAGAGUCACANGUGUGACACGUACGUAUAACAGUGAUAUCUCUUCGGGAAACCAGAUCUUAUACCAGAUAACCUUUGAAACCACGGGGCUCUGAUGAGAAACAGGGUUUUGCGAUCCUUUAUAAAUGGACCCCCGCCCUAUUACUUAUUUGGGGGGGAAAGGGUUUACCAAGGCACCAAUCCUUACCCAACCUGAAAGGGGGAUCGGC